RNAcentral lists this non-coding RNA (28 nucleotides) under Rattus norvegicus (Norway rat). The record is from RNAcentral. Lineage: Eukaryota; Metazoa; Chordata; Mammalia; Rodentia; Muridae.
UGCAAAAUGACUAGGAACCCUCGUGCUU